This is a long non-coding RNA of Homo sapiens (human), 1613 nucleotides long. Ensembl annotates it as long intergenic non-protein coding RNA 1287. NCBI's taxonomy places the organism in Eukaryota, Metazoa, Chordata, Mammalia, Primates, Hominidae. The record is from Ensembl.
ACCCACUCCUCACCCAGCAUCCAUAAAAGCAUGCUGCACCUUUGGCACAGCGCGACUUCCCUGGCCCUCCCCCUGCGGACCAGUGAACCUCGCCCGAGGGCUCAAUAAAGAAGAUUUUUGCCCUCUUUUUCUCACCUCUCAGCCUUAUUGAUCCAUGGUGCCCUUCCAUUGCCUUUCAUUGGUGCCGAAACCCGGGAGGGGACACCUCCUAAGCCCCCCCAGAGGCUCAGGGGGACUCCCCUCCUGGUCGGAUCAGUCCUCUCCCUCAGUCAGGUCAGGCUUCUCCUCCACGGCCAUCUGUCCAUUUCGUCCGGUUACUUGCUGCCAGGUCGCAGUUGCUGCAGCUACUCCAGUCCAAUUCGGCCGACGCUAGGAAAAUGGGAUGUCAUCAAAGCCCUUUGAGAAAAGGAGGGAUGUGAUCAGAUUUGUAAUUUUCAAAGAUUUCCUGAGGUGCUGUGAAUUUUACAGAUCAACUGAGAUGCAAAACCCAUGUUCACAUCAUGAGUGAGUCUUCUAACUCGGACAAUGCAAUCAACAAAUUCUAAGACCAAAUUCCGGUGGCACUGGCUCCAAAGCUCCUGAGUGUGGAAGGAGGUGAACAGGGAAAAGCAGAGAGGACAAAAGUCACAUCCCCUCCCCACAGACCCAUACUGGGGAAGGGUGGAAGAUUUAGCUGCGAGUCAAGUUCAGAAUUUUGAUUAACAUCUUGGCAUGCACAUUCGAAUUUCAGAAUCAAGACUGUUGGCCAUAAAAAAUGACUAUAGCCUUGUGUAUUACCUGAACUGAGCAGUAAAAAAAAAGUCAUGGUCCUUCUGGGGCUUUUAUUCUGAGACAGGAACCCUGAACAGGCAGGAGAAAGGGAAUGUUGACAGAGAAACAAAGACAGUUGGCGACACACGCUGACCGCCAUGCGGACGUCCAUCAAACCCAGCACUGGCCCUGGGUACGUGCGCCUUUGCUAUUACCCCAAUACAUUUUCUUCUGCAGAGCAAGCAACAGAACACAUGCAGACCUUAAUAAAUACCACUGGGUAAUGUGACAAUGGCCAAACUCUCCUCACGGGGGAGAGAGUGUCCCCCAGUUUUGCUCCCUUUUAAUUUCCAGGGUUCAUAAGUAGCUCUAAAGCUUUGCUCUACAAGGUUGAUACAUACGAUAUUAAUGUUUCCCCUAAGCAGUAUAACAUAAAUAUAUUUGCUAUCUUGACAUUCUGGGUUUGGUUUUUCAGUGUUGGCGUAAGUGGGUUUUAUACUUUCUGGAACAAGAGUUCAUCACCAAAGGGAAAAUGCUGUCCACCCCACCCUCUUUGAAAGAAAAGGCUCAGCCCAUAGUUCUCCAGAUGAAAGAAAUGUACCUAAUCAGCUAUUUCCUGUUGCUUGAUUGGAUGUUAACAAUGGAGAUAGACACACAGCUAAUUGUGGUGGCACAGCAGGAAGCCUAAUUCACUUUGCUGUAGAAAUGCCCACACAGAGAAAGUGGGAGAUGGCUGCACAAGAGGCCCCAUAGGCAGGCAAAUGCUUACUGCAGUUUCUUUCCCAAACAUUUCCAAAUAGACCAAAUAAACAUGAAUUUGCUCACUGUAGUUUAUAUUCCAAAUAAAAAUGAAUUUCUGGCCA